ACUACAGCAAAAUCUGUAGUCGGGUGUGACAACUCGAUACUCUAAGUGGCGUACAUAGCACGCGACAGCGUGUUUUUU
Molecule: small RNA, 78 nt
Filed under: Yersinia similis
Lineage: Bacteria; Pseudomonadati; Pseudomonadota; Gammaproteobacteria; Enterobacterales; Yersiniaceae
Description: isrK
Rfam family: isrK Hfq binding RNA
Source: RNAcentral